This 497-nucleotide ribosomal RNA is filed under the name uncultured bacterium. RNAcentral describes it as "partial 16S ribosomal RNA". It matches the Rfam family "Bacterial small subunit ribosomal RNA", at positions 28 to 507 of the family's 1533-position model. The record is from RNAcentral.
GACGAACGCUGGCGGCGUGCCUAAUACAUGCAAGUAGAACGCUGAAGAGAGGAGCUUGCUCUUCUUGGAUGAGUUGCGAACGGGUGAGUAACGCGUAGGUAACCUGCCUUGUAGCGGGGGAUAACUAUUGGAAACGAUAGCUAAUACCGCAUAACAAUGGAUGACACAUGUCAUUUAUUUGAAAGGGGCAAUUGCUCCACUACAAGAUGGACCUGCGUUGUAUUAGCUAGUAGGUGAGGUAAUGGCUCACCUAGGCGACGAUACAUAGCCGACCUGAGAGGGUGAUCGGCCACACUGGGACUGGGACACGGCCCAGGCUCCUACGGGAGGCAGCAGUAGGGAAUCUUCGGCAAUGGGGGCAACCCUGACCGAGCAACGCCGCGUGAGUGAAGGAGGUUUUCGGAUCGUAAAGCUCUGUUGUAAGUCAAGAACGGGUGUGAGAGUGGAAAGUUCACACUGUGACGGUAGCUUACCAGAAAGGGACGGCUAACUACGUG